This 565-nucleotide ribosomal RNA is filed under the name uncultured archaeon. RNAcentral's name for it is "bacterial SSU rRNA". It matches the Rfam family "Archaeal small subunit ribosomal RNA", at positions 313 to 879 of the family's 1478-position model. The record is from RNAcentral.
CGCAAUCGCCCUUCGGGGUGCCCAGGCGCGAAAACUUUACAAUGCUGGAAACCGCGAUAAGGGGACCUCGAGUGCCAGGAUACUAUCUUGGCUGUCCCGAUGCCUAAAAAACAUUGGAUAGCAAGGGCCGGGCAAGACCGGUGCCAGCCGCCGCGGUAACACCGGCGGCUCGAGUGGUAACCGCUAUUAUUGGGUCUAAAGGGUCUGUAGCCGGCCUGAUAAGUCUUUUGGGAAAUCCAACUGCUCAACUAUUGGGCUUUCAGAAGAUACUGUUCGACUCGAAACCGGGAGAGGUGAGAGGUACUUCAGGGGUAGGAGUGAAAUCUUGUAAUCCUUGAGGGACCACCUGUGGCGAAGGCGUCUCACCAGAACGGAUCUGACGGUAAGGGACGAAAGCUAGGGGCACGAACCGGAUUAGAUACCCGGGUAGUCCUAGCCGUAAACGAUACUCGCUAGGUGUCAGACAUGGUGCGACCGUGGUUGGUGCCGUAGGGAAGCCGUGAAGCGAGCCACCUGGGAAGUACGGCCGCAAGGCUGAAACUUAAAGGAAUUGGCGGGGGAGCAC